AUUGAACGCUGGCGGCAGGCCUAACACAUGCAAGUCGAACGGUAACAGGAAGCAGCUUGCUGCUUUGCUGACGAGUGGCGGACGGGUGAGUAAUGUCUGGGAAACUGCCUGAUGGAGGGGGAUAACUACUGGAAACGGUAGCUAAUACCGCAUAACGUCGCAAGACCAAAAGGGGGACCUUCGGGCCUCUUGCCAUCGGAUGUGCCCAGAUGGGAUUAGCUAGUAGGUGGGGUAACGGCUCACCUAGGCGACGAUCCCUAGCUGGUCUGAGAGGAUGACCAGCCACACUGGAACUGAGACACGGUCCAGACUCCUACGGGAGGCAGCAGUGGGGAAUAUUGCACAAUGGGCGCAAGCCUGAUGCAGCCAUGCCGCGUGUAUGAAGAAGGCCUUCGGGUUGUAAAGUACUUUCAGCGGGGAGGAAGGGAGUAAAGUUAAUACCUUUGCUCAUUGACGUUACCCGCAGAAGAAGCACCGGCUAACUCCGUG
This 489-nucleotide ribosomal RNA is filed under the name uncultured bacterium. RNAcentral describes it as "partial 16S ribosomal RNA". It matches the Rfam family "Bacterial small subunit ribosomal RNA", at positions 30 to 507 of the family's 1533-position model. The record is from RNAcentral.